RNAcentral lists this ribosomal RNA (400 nucleotides) under uncultured bacterium. RNAcentral's name for it is "bacterial SSU rRNA". It matches the Rfam family "Bacterial small subunit ribosomal RNA", at positions 28 to 424 of the family's 1533-position model. The record is from RNAcentral.
GAUUAACGCUAGCGGCAGGCCUAAUACAUGCAAGUCGAACGGCAGCACGGGUAGCAAUACCUGGUGGCGAGUGGCGCACGGGUGCGUAACACGUAUGCAAUCUACCUUUAACUGGGGAAUAACCCCUCGAAAGAGGGGCUAAUACCGCAUAACACUUCGAUGGGACAUCCCAAUGAAGUCAAACCUACGGGGGUUAAAGAUGAACAUGCGUCCGAUUAGCUAGUUGGCGAGGAACGGCUCACCAAGGCAACGAUCGGUAGGGGAUCUGAGAGGAUGAUCCCCCACACUGGUACUGAGACACGGGACCAGACUCCUACGGGAGGCAGCAGUAAGGAAUAUUGGACAAUGGGCGCAAGCCUGAUCCAGCCAUGCCGCGUGCAGGAUGAAAGUGCUAUGCACU